GUUCUCAUAGUUAAAUAACAACGGUGGUUUUUCAAGUCAUUAGUCCUGGUUAGAGCCCAGGUGGGAAUA
RNAcentral lists this transfer RNA (69 nucleotides) under Opisthoproctus soleatus (barrel-eye). RNAcentral describes it as "tRNA-Glu". It matches the Rfam family "tRNA". Rfam says of the family: Transfer RNA (tRNA) molecules are approximately 80 nucleotides in length. The record is from RNAcentral. Lineage: Eukaryota; Metazoa; Chordata; Actinopteri; Argentiniformes; Opisthoproctidae.